RNAcentral lists this long non-coding RNA (2405 nucleotides) under Lupinus mutabilis. Its description in RNAcentral is "partial ncRNA". The record is from RNAcentral. Lineage: Eukaryota; Viridiplantae; Streptophyta; Magnoliopsida; Fabales; Fabaceae.
AAGAAAUUAUAGUAUACAUUUUUUCCUUAAAAAAAUUAGUUUCUACAUACCUUGGUGUUGCUGCUAGGAAUAGUUGCAGUUGAUUGGCAAAGUUAUUUGGAACUACCCUGCCUUUGUUAUUAGAUAUUGCUCUCAAGACAAGAAUCGCUUGUGGAAGUCGUUUACUUUAUGACUGUAUCCUGUUUCUGAAUUCUUUUAUUCAAGGAAGAAUAUGAAGAAAGGAACUUUAUGACUCUGCUUUCACAUGGACUUGCUAAAUCUUUUGAAUGGUGUCCUUGAAUCAAUUUUCUGAACACCAUGCACUUAUGAUUUAUUGUUUAAUGUUAUUUUCAGCAUAAAUAAAUUGGUUCUGGGAAUUUCUUCCAGGAGAGGUUAAAUAAACCUGUUCUCUGCUUCAAGACAAGAAUGGUGAAAUGCAUAGGUAAAAGUAUCCAAUUCCAAGGUAUAAAUUCUAAGUUUUGUAUAUAUAGACAAGCAAUGCAUUAAAUCCAAACCUUGUAAAACUCAUCCUGUUUUGUAUGAGAAUGUGGCAGAAAAGGCAGGCAUUACGUUUUAGGAUCCCAUGGCUUCGUCCAAAACAAAUAUCAAAUUCUUCUUCUAAAUCAGACACUAUUGCUAACAUGUAUAUAGAGAGAAAGAUGAUGUUCGAGACACAAAAAGACAUGAAAAUAGUGAGUUCAGUAGAGCCAGUCACGAACAAUCUUUCAUCAACUUCAACCAUAUCCCCUGAAAACCUUACUCCACAAGUUAGUGCAGUAACUCUGGGUGGUGAAAACAAAGGAGCUACUAUGCACAUAGCUUCAUCAUCUAAGAAACAAAGUUCAAUUCACAUACACCGUGCUUAUAACACCAACCAAACACAAGAUACAACCACCGAUGAAGAUGAAAAUUCAUGCAACGAUUCAAUGGAGAAAACAUUUGUUAACAGUAACAUACAGAGUAUAAAUAAUUCGAUGAUGUUGCAUGGUUCAAUCAAUGGAAGAGACCCUGGUGUUCGUGUGAUUCAUCAACCGCAACCAAGUCUUAAGUCUUUGGACACUGGGAAGGGUGAAAUAGUAAAUAAGUUUAGCCACCGGCCUGAGCCGGUGGUUCGAAGACGGUGCCUGAGAGGGCUUUUAUUGGAAUCGAGUGACUCUGAGCCUGAUAACCCUAACAAGGCUCGUAGACAUGGUUGUAAAGUUCGUUGUGGAGUAUCAAAUUAAACACGUUAUUAAUUUCUGAUAUUUCAUCUUUACUUGUUUACAAUAUCUAUAUAAUGUGUGCUUUUCUUAUUUACUUGCUUUUCUCGAAUCAUCUUAGAUUCCCCAUUCCCUCGUUUCAAUCCACUAGAAGAGAAUAAUGAUAUAAGAGGUUUAUCUUUUUCUCAGUGUAUUUCUGAUUAAAUUGGCUUACUAUUUCUAUUGGUAUUGUCUUCUUUCAAAAUACACUCAUUCUUAUCCUGACAAACAAGGUAGAAUUCAUCUUGAUGAUGUAGCCGCCCUGUGUUUCUGAAUUCUGUGUGCUGCAUCAAGUGUUUAAUUUUUUAAUCCUACUUGAGUACUUCUUACUGGCACACUUUAAAUCUGGAUUGGCACACAAAUAUAAAAAAAUAGAGCAUAUCAUUCCUCUUAAACUUGACCCUACCACUAUUCGUCACAAUAAAAUAUUACCAAUGGAUAAGAACGAACCAAUUACUGAAGCUAACCCGAGCUUAUAUAUAUAUAUGAUAAGAAUAGAAAAUAAAAUUUGCAGUGAGUAAGUCUUUGUUGGUUAACAUAGUGAAAGAAAAAUAGAGCAACGUAAUGGGUUCUCUUAUGGCAGGAUGGGGCUCUUCUACGUUGGAUCAUAAAUCAGCAACACUUGAAAGGAACCGGUCGCUGACCAAAGAAGAAAUUAAUGCUUUCUGGAGAACAAAGAAGAAAAUAGAGGAAGACCACCUUAAAGCUGUUUCCAAGUUAUCAGAGAAUAUUCAGGUGAGCAAUUAUAAGGAGUUUGAGAAGAUUCAUAAGUCAAGUACAGUGCCUUUGGCUCGCAUAAAAGAGUCAUUAGAUAUUGAUGAUGAUGACACAAAUUUGGACCAACUUAUCAACAAAAAUGACUGGUGGACGAAGAGUCGGUGGGCUUUCUUGAAUGAACCUCCAAAAAUGGAAGCUGCUUCCAAUAAGUAUGUAUCGCAGUUUCACGUAGCCAACUUGGGAUCAUCAAAAUUUAACACUUGAAAUGGAAAUGGAAAUGGAAAUGGAAAUGGAAUUAACGUCUAAUACAACUAUGUAUACACACGAAUAUAGUUGGAGUGAUGGUUUAUGUAAAUAUAUAUGCUUUAUGUGUUUCUCUUGAAUAAAUGACCAUUAGUAAAACAUGAAGUGAUGGUUUAUGUAUUUUACAAGUAUAAACGUGACAUUUAACUCAAUUUAUACCUAUUUUCA